CCUCACAAAGUGCUAGGAUUACAGGAGUGAGUCACUGCACCUGGCCUCACCCCCACUUUGUAUCAGUGAAGGUGUGUCUGGAGUUGGUUCCUUCCAGUGGGUUCUUGGUCUCGCUGACUUCAAGAAUGAAGCCGCGGACCUUCGCGGUGAGUGUUACAGCUCUUAAAGGUGGCACAGACCCAAAGUGUGAGCAGCAGCAAGAUGUAUUGUGAAGAGUGAAAGAACAAAGCUUCCACAGCAUGGAAGAGGACCCAAGCAGGUUGCCGUUGCUUGUGAGGGGCGGGGGGGGGGUGCCAGCUUUUAUUCCCUUAUUUGUCCCCUCCCAUGUCCUGCUGAUUAGUCCAUUUUACAGAGUGCUGAUUGGUCCAUUUUACAGAGUGCUGAUUGGUCCAUUUACAAUCCUCUAGCUAGACACAGAAAACUGGUGCGUUUUUACAGACUGCUGAUUGGUGCAUUUACAAUCCUUUAGCUAGACACAGAGUGCUGAUUGGUGUGUUUACAAUCCUCUAGCUAGACAGAAAAGUUCUCCAAGUCCCCACGUCAUCCAGGAAGUCUAGCUGGCUUCACCUCUCAAAGGUUCAGGGUAGGAAGCAGAAAUUCCUCCUGUGAUCAUGAACAGAAAGGGAUUCUGUAGAAGGGAUUAGAUGCUUACCUGACCAUUGGAUGGGCCAAAGGAGUGGACUCUGGGCUAGGUGUUGAUAACACCAGUGCAGACCUGGCUCCUCAAGGGAGCUGCUACCUCUGCCACCAUCCACAAGAUGGGGGAUUGGGAGGCGGCCAGUGUAACCUUUGAGUUCAAAAAGACACCACCAAAGUCAUGACCUGAGGAUCAGCAAGCUGGGACCAGGAAGCCAUUGCUGCCACAAGUGCCCCUCAACAACUAAGAAGUGAAGCCAGGUGCCACAUCGUGAGGACACUCAACAGCCCUAUGGAGGAGCUCACAUGGAGAGAAACAAAGGUCUUCCGCCAUUUUGAAAAGGAUCCUCCAGCCCCAGCCAAGCCUUUGCAUGACUGCAGUCAUGGCCAGAAUCCCACUGCAGCCUCACAAGAGCCUUUGAGCUAGAAC
This 1066-nucleotide long non-coding RNA is filed under the name Pan troglodytes (chimpanzee). Its description in RNAcentral is "long non-coding RNA NONPTRT018388". Lineage: Eukaryota; Metazoa; Chordata; Mammalia; Primates; Hominidae. The record is from RNAcentral.